Molecule: ribosomal RNA, 340 nt
Filed under: uncultured bacterium
Lineage: Bacteria
Description: bacterial SSU rRNA
Rfam family: Bacterial small subunit ribosomal RNA
Source: RNAcentral
AAAACAGCCCUACGGGAGGCAGCAGUGGGGAAUAUUGGACAAUGGGCGAAAGCCUGAUCCAGCAAUGCCGCGUGAGUGAUGAAGGCCUUAGGGUUGUAAAGCUCUUUUACCCGGGAUGAUAAUGACAGUACCGGGAGAAUAAGCUCCGGCUAACUCCGUGCCAGCAGCCGCGGUAAUACGGAGGGAGCUAGCGUUGUUCGGAAUUACUGGGCGUAAAGCGCACGUAGGCGGCUUUGUAAGUUAGAGGUGAAAGCCUGGAGCUUAACUCCAGAACUGCCUUUAAGACUGCAUCGCUUGAAUCCAGGAGAGGUGAGUGGAAUUCCGAGUGUAGAGGUGAAAU